RNAcentral lists this ribosomal RNA (368 nucleotides) under uncultured organism. RNAcentral describes it as "bacterial SSU rRNA". It matches the Rfam family "Bacterial small subunit ribosomal RNA", at positions 526 to 896 of the family's 1533-position model. The record is from RNAcentral.
CGGAGGGUGCAAGCGUUAUCCGGAUUUACUGGGUUUAAAGGGUGCGUAGGUGGGUUGGUAAGUCAGUGGUGAAAUACUAUCGCUUAACGAUGGAACUGCCAUUGAUACUAUCAAUCUUGAAUGCAGUGGAGGUAGGCGGAAUGCGUCAUGUAGCGGUGAAAUGCUUAGAUAUGACGCAGAACACCAAUUGCGAAGGCAGCUUGCUACACUGCGAUUGACACUGAGGCACGAAAGCGUGGGGAUCAAACAGGAUUAGAUACCCUGGUAGUCCACGCCCUAAACGAUGAUUACUCGAUCUCGGCGAUACACAGUCGGGGUCUAUGUGAAAGCAUUAAGUAAUCCACCUGGGGAGUACGAUCGCAAGAUUG